CGAUGCGGUCUUACCAUGCAGUCGAACGAUGAUGCCCAGCUUGCUGGGCGGAUUAGUGGCGAACGGGUGAGUAAUACGUGAGUAACCUGCCCUUGACUCUGGGAUAAGCCUGGGAAACUGGGUCUAAUACUGGAUACUACCUCUUACCGCAUGGUGGGUGGUGGAAAGGGUUUUACUGGUUUUGGAUGGGCUCACGGCCUAUCAGCUUGUUGGUGGGGUAAUGGCUCACCAAGGCGACGACGGGUAGCCGGCCUGAGAGGGUGACCGGCCACACUGGGACUGAGACACGGCCCAGACUCCUACGGGAGGCAGCAGUGGGGAAUAUUGCACAAUGGGCGGAAGCCUGAUGCAGCGACGCCGCGUGAGGGAUGACGGCCUUCGGGUUGUAAACCUCUUUCAGUAGGGAAGAAGCGAGAGUGACGGUACCUGCAGAAGAAGCGCCGGCUAACUACGUGCCAGCAGCCGCGGUAAUACGUAGGGCGCAAGCGUUGUCCGGAAUUAUUGGGCGUAAAGAGCUCGUAGGCGGUUUGUCGCGUCUGCUGUGAAAGCCCGGGGCUCAACCCCGGGUCUGCAGUGGGUACGGGCAGACUAGAGUGCAGUAGGGGAGACUGGAAUUCCUGGUGUAGCGGUGAAAUGCGCAGAUAUCAGGAGGAACACCGAUGGCGAAGGCAGGUCUCUGGGCUGUUACUGACGCUGAGGAGCGAAAGCAUGGGGAGCGAACAGGAUUAGAUACCCUGGUAGUCCAUGCCGUAAACGUUGGGCACUAGGUGUGGGGGACAUUCCACGUUUUCCGCGCCGUAGCUAACGCAUUAAGUGCCCCGCCUGGGGAGUACGGCCGCAAGGCUAAAACUCAAAGGAAUUGACGGGGGCCCGCACAAGCGGCGGAGCAUGCGGAUUAAUUCGAUGCAACGCGAAGAACCUUACCAAGGCUUGACAUUCACCGGACCGCCCCAGAGAUGGGGUUUCCCUUCGGGGCUGGUGGACAGGUGGUGCAUGGUUGUCGUCAGCUCGUGUCGUGAGAUGUUGGGUUAAGUCCCGCAACGAGCGCAACCCUCGUUCUAUGUUGCCAGCACGUGAUGGUGGGGACUCAUAGGAGACUGCCGGGGUCAACUCGGAGGAAGGUGGGGAUGACGUCAAAUCAUCAUGCCCCUUAUGUCUUGGGCUUCACGCAUGCUACAAUGGCCGGUACAAAGGGUUGCGAUACUGUGAGGUGGAGCUAAUCCCAAAAAGCCGGUCUCAGUUCGGAUUGAGGUCUGCAACUCGACCUCAUGAAGUCGGAGUCGCUAGUAAUCGCAGAUCAGCAACGCUGCGGUGAAUACGUUCCCGGGCCUUGUACACAUGUCCGUCAAGUCACGAAAGUUGGUAACACCCGAAGCCGGUGGCCUAACCCCUUGUGGGAGGGAGCCGUCGAAGGUGGGACUGGCGAUGGACAAGUCUACAGGCGCGGCCU
Molecule: ribosomal RNA, 1450 nt
Filed under: Kocuria rosea
Lineage: Bacteria; Bacillati; Actinomycetota; Actinomycetes; Micrococcales; Micrococcaceae
Description: bacterial SSU rRNA
Rfam family: Bacterial small subunit ribosomal RNA
Source: RNAcentral